Molecule: ribosomal RNA, 253 nt
Filed under: uncultured bacterium
Lineage: Bacteria
Description: partial 16S ribosomal RNA
Rfam family: Bacterial small subunit ribosomal RNA
Source: RNAcentral
UACGUAGGGUGCAAGCGUUAAUCGGAAUUACUGGGCGUAAAGCGUGCGCAGGCGGUUGUGCAAGACCGAUGUGAAAUCCCCAGGCUUAACCUGGGAACUGCAUCCGAUACUGGAUGGCUUGAAUUCGGGAGAGGGAUGCAGAAUUCCAGGUGUAGCGGUGAAAUGCGUAGAUAUCUGGAGGAAUACCGGUGGCGAAGGCGGCAUCCUGGACCGACAUUGACGCUGAACGGCGAAAGCUAGGGGAGCAAACGGG